GACAACAGUUGGAAACGACUGCUAAUACCCCAUAUGCUUUCGAGUGAAAUGGAUUUAUAUUUAUCCGCCUAGAGAGAAGCUCGCGGCUGAUUAGCUUGUUGGUAAGGUAAGAGCUUACCAAGGCGACGAUCAGUAUCUGGUUUGAGAGGACGAUCAGACACACUGGAACUGAGACACGGUCCAGACUCCUACGGGAGGCAGCAGUGGGGAAUUUUCCGCAAUGGGCGAAAGCCUGACGGAGCAAUACCGCGUGAGGGAAGACUGCCUAUGGGUUGUAAACCUCUUUUUUCA
This 291-nucleotide ribosomal RNA is filed under the name uncultured bacterium. RNAcentral's name for it is "partial 16S ribosomal RNA". It matches the Rfam family "Bacterial small subunit ribosomal RNA", at positions 142 to 441 of the family's 1533-position model. The record is from RNAcentral.